AUCUAUGCGCAAAGGAAGAAUCUAAACUAAAUGAAGUCGCAAAUGGGUUCAAGGCAAUUGAGCCACUGAAUAUGAAAAUUAUAUUUACGUAAGGACUAGUACCCUCCUGCUGCAGCAAUUAUCUUCAAAUGCCAAAAUACGAUUUUCUUAUAAUUAAUAAAACUGCCUUUGAACUUAUUUUCGCAAACUCAUUAAAAUAACUAAUUAAAUUCUGCGCAGGUCAUUGCUUUAACUGUCACUAUCAUAGUGUCGCAUAUGUUGAGGGCGAGAAUCUAGCACACAUGUUUAACUCUAUAAUUUUCAGUUGAUGUAUCACCGGUAUUAAAAAUAAUGCUAUACUCCGUGAUAAACAAUGCUCUUCUGAUCGCGUGGGUUAUGCUGGAAGUUCCAAAAUAUAUUAAUAAUAGAUAAUAUCCUAAGGGUUUUUGUAUAUUAGACAAUCUACUGUCAGGUCAAUUGAAUAUCGGUUCCUAAUUGCACAUGCAAGAUUAUGUAAAUGUUUGAUAUAGAUUUAUUAAAAUAUGACUAAAUAAAGCUGUAUUAUAGUGACAUUAAA
This is a non-coding RNA of Drosophila virilis, 556 nucleotides long. The record is from RefSeq and is a predicted model, not a curated record. Lineage: Eukaryota; Metazoa; Arthropoda; Insecta; Diptera; Drosophilidae.